UACGUAGGUGGCAAGCGUUGUCCGGAUUUACUGGGCGUAAAGCGCGCGCAGGCGGAUGGUUAAGUAGGAAGUGAAAGGUUGGAGCUCAACUCCAACAUUGCUCCCUAUACUGGCCGUCUUGAGUCCCGGAGAGGAAAGCGGAACGACACGUGGAGCGGUGAAAUGCGUUGAUAUGUGUCGGAACACCAAUGGCGAAGGCAGCUUUCUGGACGGGUACUGACGCUCAGGCGCGAAAGCCGAGGUAGCGAACAGG
RNAcentral lists this ribosomal RNA (253 nucleotides) under uncultured bacterium. RNAcentral describes it as "partial 16S ribosomal RNA". It matches the Rfam family "Bacterial small subunit ribosomal RNA", at positions 524 to 776 of the family's 1533-position model. The record is from RNAcentral.